Molecule: RNA transcript, 1453 nt
Organism: Triticum aestivum (bread wheat)
Lineage: Eukaryota; Viridiplantae; Streptophyta; Magnoliopsida; Poales; Poaceae
Exons: 3
Source: RefSeq, a predicted model, not a curated record
UUCCCCUUGCUUCUACCGCGGUUGCCGCAUCUCCCUGCUUCAACCUCUAUGUCGCCGUGCCCUGGGAUACAUCCGCCGCCGUCCCUGGAUCCUCCCACGCCCACCACCCCACUGUCCUCCGACACCACAGGCGUGGCCUAGGCGCACCGGAGCCCAGGGGCGAAAUUGGGCCUGGGGCAACUGGGGCUGUAGCCCCAGGCGUGGCCCAACUAGCACCUAAACACAUAGUUGCCAAUAUUUGAGAAUUUGUUAUACAUAGAAGCCCAGCCCCAGGCUUCACAUCGGCCUCACGUACACGUACAAGGCUUCAGCAAGCUCUUUCUUCUUUGAGCACGGCUGUUUCCAGCCGCCUUCAACAGCCGCGACCCGCUGGAUCAGAUGGAUGCUCACGUGUGGGAGCGAUGCUGCUCCGGCGGGCUCCUUCUUCCUCGAGCGUGGCAUGUCAAUAACAGUCUCCUUGUUCUCGUUCCCUCCUCCAUUCCCGAGCACGACUUCGACCCCCGGUGAAGCGCCCCGCUGCCGACUAGGAUCCCCCACCAAAGGUACCUUCCUUCCCCUUGCUUCUACCGCGGUUGCCGCAUCUCCCUGCUUCAACCUCUAUGUCGCCGUGCCCUGCGAUACAUCCGCCGCCGUCCCUGGAUCCUCCCACGCCACCACCCCACUGUCCUCCGACACCACAGGCGUGGCCUAGGCGCACCGGAGCCCAGGGGCGAAAUUGGGCCUGGGGCAACUGGGGCUGUAGCCCCAGGUGUGGCCCAACUAGCACCUAAACACAUAGUUGCCGAUAUUUGAGAAUUUGUUAUACAUAGAAGCCCAGCCCCAGGCUUCACAUCGGCCUCACGUACACGUACAAGGCUUCAGCCCAUUAGCCCCACUCCAGUCCAUCGAUCGGAGCAGAAAACCAAUCGCGGACUGCAAGUUGACCAUUCGAUCUGUCGCUCAUUCGUCAAGAAAAAGAAAAUCCCUCUCCGAUCGGCAACAGAGAAACCCCCGCCUCGCUCGACUGCGCUGCGCGCCUGCGCCGCCACCUUCGUCAGUUAUCAACUCGCGAUUCCCCGCCACGCCGGCCGCCGGAUCCGGCGUCCUUGCCACCUGCCUCUCCUUCUGAUCUUCUCCAAAUAUUGAAAUUACAGUGCACACACACUGCCGCACAGGAGAUUAGAAAUCCAAGAUGAUGAGGAACCGUUCAAUUAAAUCUUUUUUCCAGGAUUGAGGAUAUUAAGAUUAUUUGGUGCUAUCAAAAAAAUGAGGAAACGCAAAGGGUUACAACCUCUUGCAUUCACGAUAAUGCUCCCGGUCCUUCUACUAUCGCUGGUGAAGAAAUGAUGGCCUCGAAUUAAGCAAAUCUUCAAUAAUUUGGUACCAAACAAUGUUUGCAAUGAUGCACUUUAUUAAACUAUUUGUUUUACAUGAUUUCCUCUCGUGAAAUAAUGAAAUUAUAUUUUGUUUUUAA